UUUCCUGGCUGUAGAGGAAGACAAGCAGCAGAAAAUCACCCGCCUGCUGCUGCUCUGGGAGAAGAACAGCUACUUUGACGACGUCACCAUUCAGCAGCUUCAGAGUCCGGCUCUGGGCCUCGGACAGUAUCAGGCGUCGCUCAUCACGGAGUACGCGCCGGUGGUGCAGCCCGUCCAGAUGGCCUUCCAGCAGCAGAUCCAGGC
Long non-coding RNA from Sinocyclocheilus anshuiensis, 204 nucleotides. RefSeq lists it as uncharacterized. The record is from RefSeq and is a predicted model, not a curated record. NCBI's taxonomy places the organism in Eukaryota, Metazoa, Chordata, Actinopteri, Cypriniformes, Cyprinidae. The transcript has 3 exons.